Molecule: non-coding RNA, 4398 nt
Organism: Pelodiscus sinensis (Chinese soft-shelled turtle)
Lineage: Eukaryota; Metazoa; Chordata; Testudines; Trionychidae
Source: RefSeq, a predicted model, not a curated record
UAAAAGAAGGCUUGCAGCUACCAGAAAGUCAUUAAGGCAUUAGUUUCUCUGAGAAGACAGAUCUGGAGAAAAAUCAAGAAAAUGAAUGUAGAUAUAUAUAUAUAUAAACAAGGUAAGAAGACAACAUGACAACAGAAAAUGUCAUAGACUUGCUGAAGGUCCCCAGCAGGAAAGAGUAUCAACUCUACAUAGACAAUAAGAACUUGGAUCCCUAAGAGAAUGAAUAGAGCUGAUUUAUAAGAGUCUGAUACGUGCUGCUCAUAUUAGCAUCCAGGCAAGCUGACAGUGGCAGCAUAUAGAAAUGAAGAUGGUGAGGGGAUAUGGCACUUGAAUAUACAGUUGAUGGAACUGUCAUCCCUAAGCAUGUUGUUGUAAACAGAAAAGGCCGAUAUAUAAACCCUCUGGAAGUAAAUGGAAAAACUCCCACUAACUCCUGCCGCACCAGCUGCACGUGCAGGGCGCACCACCCCAUCCGAGACAUCUUCCCACACGAGGGCUCCACAGGAGGACCAGCCAAAUGCUGCAGGGAUACCGAGAGCAGCACCUGGGGGCACUGCAAGCCCUGCACCACACCGUUGAUCACUGGGUGGAACUAGAUUUGGAGCUCUGAAAAGUUCUACGGUGUCCUUUUAGGGUAGCAUCCAAUGAAAAUGGAGUGUUCACAGCUGCAGAAGGAGGUAAAUAGCAGAGGCUUCUGACAUGGUUGAUCUGCUGCUGUCACCAAACAGGAAGAGGUUACAGUGAAACCAUUGAUCAAACAUCAGCCUUAUGUUUUAUGGGAGCUCAAGAAACUAACCAUCGAACUUUUUGGACACAAAUCAAGAAAUGGAGACCAUAUAGAAAUUAUCUAAAAAUGACCAACUGAAGAGACCAGAAAGAAAAGUCUGAGGAAGCUGACAAAAAUGAUUUCAUGACGUUCAGAUGCUCUUCAUUGUGUUCUUCAUACUUACUACACAUGGAACGAGAUUUUUCAUAUUACAGUAAUAUCUCUGAUGCUGUUCCAAAAAUCAACUUGAAACCAUGAGAUUCCAGAACAGGACCCCGCUGCUCCUUAUGGGACAAUUCCUCACCUCUCUCUGAGUGUUGCUCAUGUAGCUCGACUCCAGCCAUCCUUCCCUGCACAACAUGCACUGCCACUUCUGGAGACUGGACACCAGCUCCGACUGGUGGGACCGGAUCAUCCUUGAGUGGUGGGACAACCAGAAGUUACUCCAGAAUUUCCGUAUGUGGAAGGACACCUUUCUGCACCUAUGUGAAUAUCUCGCCCCUGCCCUCCAGUUAUUGGACACCCAUAUGACACCUGCCAUCUCCCUCCAGAAGGGGGUAGCCAUCGUCCUCUGGAAGCUCGCCAUGCUGGACAGCUACCGAUCCAUUGGAAAUCAGUUUGGCAUGGGGAUAUCGAGUAAUUGGGCCAUGCUCUUGCAGGUGGUGAGGGCCAUCAACAGUGUCUUGCAGUGCAGAGUCAUCAACCUGGGUGACGUGGACCCCAUCAUCUCUGGCUUUGCCACCAUGGGCUUUCCCAACUGCAGGGGGAGGCCCUCACUGACCACCGCAGCCAGUUCACAGACUUCUACAUCGUGUGGUCGGGGAAGGCACAAGACACAAGUGAAAUUCCAGUCUCUUUCAAAAGCUGCACACUGGCAUCUUUUUCCCUGACUGCACCAUCAGGGUUGGGGAUGUGGAUAUGCCGAUCUAUAUUGUUGGGGAUGCAGCCUACUCUCUGCUCCCUGGCUAAUGAAUCCCUACACUGGACACCUGGACCAAAGCAAGGGAUGCUUCAAUGCCAGGCUCAGCAGGGCCCGUAUCGUUGAGGGUGUGUGCCUUUGGAAGUCUCAAGGGGAGGUUCCGUUGUCUCCUCACCCUGUUGGAUCUUGGAAUACCCAUGGUAUGGAGGAGUAAGUGACUCUGUGUGCUUCCACUCCCCCUCUCCUCCAGCUGGAAGAACGGCAACAUGAAGAGCCACUUCCCUUGAGGCUUUUCCUCAUCGCUCCCAUAACAGCAGGAGGCGGUGCCUGGGAGGAGCAGGGAGCCACGUACGCCCCAGGAAGCGAGGCAGCAGAUAAGCACCCCAAGCCCACCCCCUCAUUCCCAGACCUCGCAGUGUGUUUCCUGGCCCAGGAAAAUCUUCAAUCCAGCAUAAUCUAUUUCUCAGGAUUGCCAUAUUAAAGAGAUUCAAGUGUAGUGAGCACAUUUCUGAGUGGAGUGGACUAAUCCAUGAGGGCCUAGAAAAUACAACUUUCUCUGCAAUGUGACUGACUAUCUGGAGUUCCUGUUUCAGGAAAAGUUUGCACCAAUCAGCAUUCAGAACUAGGUCAGAAUCCAGGAGGGAAUUAACAUGAUACCGGCUUAGCUCAGACGUGACUUUCCAACAUUGCUGAACGCAAACACACUGAAAACUGCAGCUGUACUCCACCUCAGCAUGGAUUUGCCUCUAACUGACAUAGACUGGAUUUAGAAAAAGAAGACUGUUUCCCAAACACACACACUCAGGCAGUGAUUAACAACUAUUUACAGGUGAGAAAAAGGUUAAUUUGCUUGAGGAAAUCAUGUCUGUGCCAGAGAAGGUCAACUUGCUCCAUCAUCAUGUACUGCCGUCUGAUGCUGGCCUGAACCCUCACAACUUGGCUGAAUGGAAUAAUUAGACAUUUUGAUUUUUUUUAGCAUACUGCCUGCAAAUUUCUGUUUUCUCCAAAGGCAUUUACACCAUUGCCGGAAAGGAAGGACUGUGUGACUCAUUUCAGUUACUUGAAUACUGUCUCACCUAGUUCAACAUCAAUAGCCUCAUCUUGUUCUGAACUACAUUACAUUUCUGAUUAUUGAUUGUUGCAUUCUAAAACUAGGAAUUGAAUCCUAAAUUGUGCCUUCUCCAAUCCUGAGCCUGGGCCAAAACAACCCCUGGUGCAGCACAAAAUAGUUGCUUUCAGUUGCUGUGGCUAGCACAGUCCCUAGGAGCUAUUCUGCUGGCCGAUGAUGCUCCAAACUCACCACUCCUGCUCUUGUCAUGACACACCCAAAAAAGAAGACUGAAUACAUGAAACUCAGAAUGUAUACAUUCUGAAGCGCACCUCUCAGGACCUGCCCCCUUGUGAUUUGAUGGUAUUAGAAAUAGCAAAUGAUCAAGUGAAGAAGUACGAUGGUGUAACGUGGGAGCCCAGUCCUGCUCCCCGUUGUCUCAGGUUCCCCGGUACUCCAUUACAUCAGUAAGAAGAACAGGCAAGAAAACAAAAAAGUAAGCUGUGGAUCUUAAAGGAGGAAGGAGGUGAAAACUAAAACCUGUCUUUCAUCUUUACCUUUUCAAGGAAACAGACUGUAGACAAGAUGAGUGGGAUAGAGCGCCCAUUUUUGUAAACGGACUUAGCAUUUUUUCCUGUUACAUCAGUUGUAUAAUUCAUUGUAAAAUGUGUCCUCAAUGGCUCUGAGGGUAAAUGCAGUUUUAAAAACCGGCAUUUUAUGGAAUAUGUCAAGGGCAGAAUAAAUAAUAUCUUCAAAAAAGGAUAUAAGUUUAGUAACAUACUGACCAGAAAAGGAACAGAUAAACUGUUGUGUUCCAGCUGUUGGCUAACCGAGAGGACUAGCAGAGUAAAUAUAUAAACAUUUAUAUUGGAAGUAAAAACUGUUAACAAAGGUAUUUUAUUUUUAAGCCAAAACACAAACUUGGCUUUCACUGCUGUCCAAGGACCAUUCUAGCCAUCUCAGCUUCUAUCCUGACAGGACAUUUACUCUGUGUUCUUUGGACAGCUUCCAGUGUCCCCCGCAGGAAAGCAAUCUGCCAAUUUGCAUAUCAAAGUAAAGGAAUAAGCCAACCUCAAUAGACUUCUAAGGGGAAGUGAAAGUAUAUGGGAAUUUUAGUUUUAACAACUCUCAAAAAAAAUUAAAACCACCUCCAUGCGUUCCAUGCAAAAAUCAUUUGAAAUGCUUUUACAGCACAUUUAAACAGAAACAAGAAUUUAACACUUCACAUUCUCUUUGAUAUCACAAGUAUAGCAGUGUUUUAAUAAGCAAUCAGAGGGAAGAUAUCUAGAUCAUUUCUGCAUGCACCAUUUUGGAAAUUAUUGCACAAGACAUCCUUUCAUAGUUCUCAAAUAGUACUUCAAUAGCCAAUCAAGCAUUUUGUGUUCUGUGAUGGUGAGAUGACAUGAUAUUUAAUUCAUACUUUUUAGUCUUGAGCAUUUCUUGUAGCUUAAUUCAGGGCAUCUGAUACCAUGUGUAUUGGAGAUCCUUGCUAUGAACAUCUGGGAUAGAAUUAGCAUUGAACUCCACCCUAACUAAAUGCCCAUCAAUGCCCAGUUGCAGGGCAAAACAGAGCAGAUGGGACUUGCUUUGUAGAUUCUAAAAAAAUAAAAUAAUAGAAUAAUAGAAAAGCAGGGCUGGAAAGGACCAGAAGAGGUUAUCUAGACC